RNAcentral lists this ribosomal RNA (450 nucleotides) under uncultured bacterium. Its description in RNAcentral is "partial 16S ribosomal RNA". It matches the Rfam family "Bacterial small subunit ribosomal RNA", at positions 354 to 796 of the family's 1533-position model. The record is from RNAcentral.
GUGGGGAAUAUUGGACAAUGGGCGAAAGCCUGAUCCAGCCAUGCCGCGUGUGUGAAGAAGGUCUUCGGAUUGUAAAGCACUUUAAGUUGGGGGGAAGGGCAGUAAGUUAAUACCUUGCUGUUUUGACGUUACCGACAGAAUAAGCACCGGCUAACUUCGUGCCAGCAGCCGCGGUAAUACGAAGGGUGCAAGCGUUAAUCGGAAUUACUGGGCGUAAAGCGCGCGUAGGUGGUUUUGUAAGUUGGAGGUGAAAUCCCCGGGCUCAACCUGGGAACUGCCUCCAAAACUGCAUGACUAGAGUACGGUAGAGGGUAGUGGAAUUUCCUGUGUAGCGGUGAAAUGCGUAGAUAUAGGAAGGAACACCAGUGGCGAAGGCGACUACCUGGACUGAUACUGACACUGAGGUGCGAAAGCGUGGGGAGCAAACAGGAUUAGAUACCCUAGUAGUCC